Chiroxiphia lanceolata (lance-tailed manakin) is the source of this 630-nucleotide long non-coding RNA. RefSeq lists it as uncharacterized. The record is from RefSeq and is a predicted model, not a curated record. The transcript is spliced from 4 exons. Lineage: Eukaryota; Metazoa; Chordata; Aves; Passeriformes; Pipridae.
AAAGAAUCAAAUCCCAUCUCACCAUCCUGGCAGAAUGGAUUAAAGUGAACCACAGUGUGUUUGUGCUCAGAAACCUGCCCUGGUGUCCUUUGGCUGCUGGAGAAAAAAAGACUUGCAGGGGAGUAAAACUGUUUAGAGUGCAAUUCUCCUGGACAGAAGCAGCUGGAAUCUUUGUGUUAACUCUGAGGAAUGGAAGCCCCAAGGCACACAGUUCUUGCUUUAUUAACUGGGACGUAGUUUAAAGCCAAAUUUCACCUUUCCCAUCAUUAAGGAAGAUGAAGGAGGGCACCAUGACAAUGGUCUGCACCACAUGCCCCCUGCUCAGACACAUAAUGGGGCUGGGGAGGCUUUUCUGUGGAAACACUCUGGUCCUGGAUUGAAAUCCUGCCCAGCUCCCUUGGAAUGAGAUACAAAGGCGGAUAAAGAAAUCUGGAUCACAGUGAUAAGCUCCUGAAGGGAGGACCAGGCCCAGCAGUGUGAAAAGCAGUGGUGUUAUGUAUUUUUUGACCUCCUGACCUGCCUGGAGUCCCUGAGCCCCUCAGACAGUGGGAAACCCCACGGGCUGGUUUGAGCCACAUCACGAGGAACCGUCGGCACCUUCCCCGUGACUGAUGUUGCAUUGCCACUGCU